UCUUGGUCCCGGGAUUCGCCGUCGCGCCGCCAUGAGUGACCGUCGGCGCCGCACAUCCUCGUCAUGUUGGCUCUCUGCACAAGGCGGACCAGCAACUGGACGACCUCCGACAUCGGCGGCCUGAACUCCGGUUCGGACUGUCGACAAAAGCGCGAUCGCGUCAGCGAAGCGGGAGAGCGAUUUCGAAGGGUACAGCCCCUGGAGUGCAGGGUCGACCAUCUGGUCCAAAGCGUCGAUGUCGUGCAGCUGGGGAGUUGCCCACCCGACCAGUGACUGCUCCGACCGUGGCCGGGAUCUGCAAAUGUUUCCGGCCAGUCAGGAGCUCUAGCAUGACAACACCGAAGCUGUACACGUCACUCUUCACGGAGUACUGGCCAGACAUGGUCACCUCAGGGGCCCUGUAUCCUGAGUCCUCAUCUGACACCUGAAAUUGUCGUUAUGAAUAAGGUCAGCAAACCCAGAAUCUGAAAGAUGGGGAUUUAGCUCGUUAUCCAGAAAAAUAUUGGAUGACUUGAAAUUCUUGUGUAUCACGGAAGGUGAACAAGUUUCAUUUUCACUUACUCUAAUGCCCUCGCAGAUCCAAGGGCAAUCUUCACACGGCUAUUCCAAGACAACGGUUGGCUUUGAUCAUCCACUAGAUGAAGCAAGUCUUUAAGAGAACCAUUUCGGUAGAACUCAUAUGCCAGUAAGCACUGCCCAUGCUCUGAACAGUAGCCAACUAACUCAGAAAGGCUUGGAUGAUUUAACCUUGAAAUAUUUGCAACUAACUCAAUGAACAAAUCUGAAGGAUGGCCCGGGAAUGCAGAGAAAUUGAUUUUCUUCACAGCCAGGACCUGAAACACCUUGUGGUCAUUGAAUUUCGCCUUGUAAACACGACCGAAUAACCCCUCUCCAAUUAAAUUGUCAGCACAGAAGCUGCCUGUUGCCACCUGUAGGUCUGCCACAGUGUAUGCAGGUGUUCUGAUGGAACUAAAACUUAUUUUCCUUGUGAAAGACUUGCUGGUGACAUCAUUUUCAUCAAUGGACUUGUGCAAGUCAAUUCUUGUUGGAGUGCUGCACAACUGUUUGCAAAUCAUUCCAAAGCUGACAAUUAGCAUGAAACUUACGUUUAAGACUGUCUUUAAAUCCUGAAACAAUAGGGCUGAGAGGUUCCUUCUGUUCAGGAUCUCCUCCUCGUGGCAAUGACCAAUAUUUCUUCUUGAUCACAAAGAAGGCAACUAUUGCACCCACAACUACCAAACAUACUACAAUUCCGGCUAUGGCACCACCACUUAGUUUAGAGUGUUUGCGACCAUCAUCAGACGGAUUAUUGUUAACAGUAGUAGUUGGAGGAGCAGGUUGUCGAGAUUGUGGAGAUUUGUAUGGAGGAGAUUUAUAAGAUCGUGAGUAUAUUGGUAACAGAAGUACUUACUGGAGAUUCUUUAUUUUCUUUAGCUUAUCAGGUAUCCAUCCGGUGAAUUGGUUAUUUGCAACAUUUCUGAAUCAGUAAGCGGAAGAUCAGCAAGGACAUCUAUUGUGCCAUUGAAUCCGUUGUUCUGCAGAU
This 1543-nucleotide small RNA is filed under the name Oryza sativa Japonica Group (Japanese rice). RNAcentral describes it as "sRNA Os07g0618450". The record is from RNAcentral. Lineage: Eukaryota; Viridiplantae; Streptophyta; Magnoliopsida; Poales; Poaceae.